This 799-nucleotide ribosomal RNA is filed under the name Dactylonectria macrodidyma. Its description in RNAcentral is "LSU rRNA". It matches the Rfam family "Eukaryotic large subunit ribosomal RNA", at positions 92 to 923 of the family's 3401-position model. The record is from RNAcentral. Lineage: Eukaryota; Fungi; Ascomycota; Sordariomycetes; Hypocreales; Nectriaceae.
AGUGAAGCGGCAACAGCUCAAAUUUGAAAUCUGGCCUUCGGGUCCGAGUUGUAAUUUGUAGAGGAUGCUUUUGGUGAGGUGCCUUCCGAGUUCCCUGGAACGGGACGCCAUAGAGGGUGAGAGCCCCGUCUGGUUGGACACCGAUCCUCUGUAAAGCUCCUUCGACGAGUCGAGUAGUUUGGGAAUGCUGCUCUAAAUGGGAGGUAUAUGUCUUCUAAAGCUAAAUAUUGGCCAGAGACCGAUAGCGCACAAGUAGAGUGAUCGAAAGAUGAAAAGCACUUUGAAAAGAGAGUUAAAAAGUACGUGAAAUUGUUGAAAGGGAAGCGCUCAUGACCAGACUUGGGCUUGGUUGAUCAUCCAGGGUUCUCCCUGGUGCACUCUUCCAGUUCAGGCCAGCAUCAGUUCGCUGUGGGGGAUAAAGGCUUUGGGAAUGUGGCUCCCUCGGGAGUGUUAUAGCCCAUUGUGUAAUACCCUGUGGUGGACUGAGGUUCGCGCAUUCGCAAGGAUGCUGGCGUAAUGGUCAUCAGCGACCCGUCUUGAAACACGGACCAAGGAGUCGUCUUCGUAUGCGAGUGUUCGGGUGUUAAACCCCUACGCGUAAUGAAAGUGAACGCAGGUGAGAGCUUCGGCGCAUCAUCGACCGAUCCUGAUGUUCUCGGAUGGAUUUGAGUAAGAGCAUACGGGGCCGGACCCGAAAGAAGGUGAACUAUGCCUGUAUAGGGUGAAGCCAGAGGAAACUCUGGUGGAGGCUCGCAGCGGUUCUGACGUGCAAAUCGAUCGUCAAAUAUGGGCAUGGGGG